This 328-nucleotide ribosomal RNA is filed under the name uncultured eukaryote. RNAcentral describes it as "partial 18S ribosomal RNA". It matches the Rfam family "Eukaryotic small subunit ribosomal RNA", at positions 1470 to 1796 of the family's 1831-position model. The record is from RNAcentral.
CCCUUAGAUGUCCUGGCCGCACGCGCGCUACACUGAGUGUCUGAGAUACGAGUCUGCCUGGUCCGGCAAGGUCUAGGUAAUCGCUAAAAGACACAUCAUGCUUGGGAUAGAUUAUUGCAAAUAUUAAUCUUGAACGAGGAAUUCCUAGUAAGCGCAAGUCAACAGCUUGCGUUUAUUACGUCCCUGCCCUUUGUACACACCGCCCGUCGCUACUACUGAUUGGAUGUUUAAGCGAGGUUCUCGAACUGCUAGCGACUUAGCUUCGGUGAGGUCGCAGUGUGGGAAGUGAACCUAGCUUUGGUGUCUAGAGGAAGUAAAAGUCGUAACA